UACGUAGGGUGCGAGCGUUGCCCGGAUUUAUUGGGCGUAAAGAGCGUGUAGGCGGCCAGGUAGGUCCGUUGUGAAAACUGGAGGCUUAACCUCCAGCUGUCGAUGGAAACCAUCUGGCUAGAGUCCGGAAGAGGAGAGUGGAAUUCCUGGUGUAGCGGUGAAAUGCGCAGAUAUCGUAAGGAAGACCAGUGGCGAAGGCGGGUCUCUGGACAGUUCCUGACGCUGAGGCACGAAGGCCAGGGGAGCAAACGGG
RNAcentral lists this ribosomal RNA (253 nucleotides) under uncultured bacterium. Its description in RNAcentral is "partial 16S ribosomal RNA". It matches the Rfam family "Bacterial small subunit ribosomal RNA", at positions 524 to 776 of the family's 1533-position model. The record is from RNAcentral.